GAACAAAGAGACCUACUGUAAGUAAAAAUUUGUGUCCAGGAUAUAGGAUUUUUUUCCUUCUUUCCUAUUUUUUUUGCAAGAAUAAGUAUCAAUCAAGUGUGGUCUUGGGAUUGACUUUUCUAUCUGAGUUUCAAAAAAUCAUUUACUUAGGAAACCAUUUUAUUUUAUAUAUGCCCACUGUCUCACUCUGAUCUCUUUUACAAUUUAUCCUGUUUAUAGCGUUCAAACUUAAAUGAUUUAUUGAGAUCUCUAUAUGUAAACAUGAGUUUGAAUUUUG
This 277-nucleotide unclassified non-coding RNA is filed under the name Hevea brasiliensis (rubber tree). Lineage: Eukaryota; Viridiplantae; Streptophyta; Magnoliopsida; Malpighiales; Euphorbiaceae. The record is from RNAcentral.